RNAcentral lists this transfer RNA (75 nucleotides) under Candidatus Thioglobus sp. RNAcentral's name for it is "tRNA-Gln". It matches the Rfam family "tRNA". Rfam says of the family: Transfer RNA (tRNA) molecules are approximately 80 nucleotides in length. The record is from RNAcentral. Lineage: Bacteria; Pseudomonadati; Pseudomonadota; Gammaproteobacteria; Pseudothioglobaceae (SeqCode). RNAcentral also lists the same sequence under 1 other name.
UGGGAUGUCGCCAAGUGGUAAGGCAACGGGUUUUGAUCCCGUCAUUCGCAGGUUCGAUCCCUGCCAUCCCAGCCA